GUGCAUACCAAGGCUUCAGAGCUAGAAAAGCUGAAAAGAAGCAUGUUAUAAGGACUGCUUGGCUGGAACUAACCAAAUGGAAGUACAUGCACGGAGCAGCCGCAGACUUUUUGCCACUCUCUGCUGAGCCUUCUCUAGAGUGACAUGGACUGGAGGAGACCAGUGUGACUCCAGGAGACCACAGACCACCUAGCAUUUCCCCUUCAGCCCCAGUGCAGCUCUCUUCAGCCAGGAAGUAGUUCCUGCUUUGUCUUAGCGCAUUCUCUGUUGCAGGGAGAAAGUGACUGGACUUGUGUCCUCUGAACCCUCGAAAGUCCAGAA
Molecule: long non-coding RNA, 321 nt
Organism: Mus musculus (house mouse)
Lineage: Eukaryota; Metazoa; Chordata; Mammalia; Rodentia; Muridae
Product: predicted gene, 30729
Exons: 3
Source: RefSeq, a predicted model, not a curated record